RNAcentral lists this unclassified non-coding RNA (338 nucleotides) under uncultured bacterium. Its description in RNAcentral is "contains 16S-23S intergenic spacer region". The record is from RNAcentral.
CGCGGCGGUUGAGUCAACGCGAUGUACACAACAAAAGACCGCCCGAAGGCGGUCUCUUGAGAUGACCGGGUCCCGUUUUCGUCUAGCGCUCACCGCUCAUGAGGAAGAAAAGGUUCUCGCCACGCAUCGCUAUUUGAUGUGGGCGCCCAGCAAUCGCUUUCAUGAAGGAUUGAGAUGUCCCGAAAUUGGGGAAUAGCCAGUCGUGAAGCUCGAUCGCGAUGAGGUCGGUCCGGUCCAUCCAAUCCGUGUUCGACCGGAAUAGCUCUUUCUCAGCCCCUUCGAUGUCGACCUUGACGACCAGGAUUGGCUUUCCUUCGGAAAGUUGAUCAAUUGUGAAU